AGGCGGCGGGGCCGGUGCGGGCGCUGGAGCCGCCGCGGCGGCAGGAAGAUGGAUGCGCCGUGCUCAUGCCUCGCCGCUCGGCGUCUUUCCUUGGCGGCACGGGCUUCCAAAGCAGCUGAGUCAAGGACCUUAAGGAAUGUCACGCAGUAGUUGCUGACCUAACUGACACUGAAAGGAACAGAAGAAGAUGGCAAUCCAUAUUUGAAAUAAACGUGUGGACUCUCUGAUAAAAAACCAUGUCAAAAAAAGGACGGAGCAAGGGCGAAAAGCCUGAGGCACUGAUUGUUGCCCUACAGGCUGCCAAUGAGGACCUCAGGACCAAGCUAACAGACAUUCAAAUUGAGCUGCAUCAGGAGAAAUCUAAGGUUGCUAAGCUCGAAAGAGAAAAGACUCAAGAAACGAAGCGCAUCCGUGAAGUGGAGCAACGCAAGCAGACCGUGCAGAUCACAGAGCUAAAAGCCAAACUCCAUGAAGAGAAAAUGAAGGAGCUGCAGGCGGUGAGGGAGAACCUCAUCAAACAGCACGAGCAGGAGAUGACGAGAAUGGUGAAAGUCCGAGACAGUGAAAUCCAGCGCCUGAAGUCGGCGCUGUGCGCGCUGCGGGAUGGGAGCAGUGAUAAAGUACGGACUGCGCUGACCAUUGAGGCUCGUGAGGAGGCCAGGAAACAGUUUGACUCUGAGCGCCUUAAGCUUCUGCAGGAAAUUACUGAACUGAAGUCCGCCAAAAAGCAGGUGGAUGAGGCCCUUAACAAUAUGAUCCAGGCUGACAAGAUCAAGGCAGGCGAUCUUCGGAGUGAGCAUCAGUCCCACCAAGAGGCCAUUUCCAAGAUCAAAUGGGAGAGUGAAAGGGAUAUUCGACGCCUGAUGGAUGAGAUCAAGGCUAAAGACAGGAUCAUAUUUUCAUUGGAGAAAGAACUGGAGACACAGACAGGCUAUGUGCAGAAGCUGCAGCUGCAAAAGGAAGCUCUGGAUGAACAGCUCUUUUUGGUGAAGGAGGCAGAGUGUAACAUGAGCAGUCCCAAGAGAGAGAUCCCAGGAAGGGCUGGAGAUGGUUCGGAGCACUGCAGCAGCCCUGACUUGCGCAGAAACCAGAAGAGGAUAGCAGAGCUGAAUGCCACCAUACGGAAGCUGGAAGACCGGAACACGUUGCUUGUUGAUGAACGAAAUGAGCUGUUGAAGCGUGUCCGAGAAGCUGAGAAACAAUGUAAACCUCUUCUGGAAAAGAACAAGUGCCUCACGAAGAGAAAUGAUGAACUUAUGCAGUCUUUGCAGCGCAUGGAAGAUAAACUCAAAGCAGUCACUAAAGAAAAUAUAGAAAUGAGAGAAAAAAUAACAUCACAUCCUCCUCUAAAGAAAUUAAGAUCUCUCAAUGACCUGGAUCAGGCUAAUGAGGAACAAGAAACUGAAUUUUUAAAGCUUCAGGUCAUAGAACAGCAGAACAUAAUUGAUGAGUUAACAAGGGACAGGGAGAAACUCAUUCGUCGGAGAAAGCAUAAAAGGAGCUCAAAACCAAUCAAGAGACAUGUGGUGGAUACGGUUUUUGGGUAUGAUGAUGAUUCUAUGGACUCUGAAACAUCCUCUGUGGCCUCAUAUAGAACAGACAGGACACCAGCAACCCCAGAUGAUGAUCUGGAUGAGGGUUUAGCAGCAGAAGAGUCAGAGCUGCGGUUUCGACAGCUGACGAAGGAGUACCAGGCCCUGCAGAGAGCGUAUGCACUGCUGCAGGAACAGACAGGAGGGGUCAUAGAUGCUGAAAGAGAAGCCAGGGCUCAGGAGCAACUUCAAGCUGAAGUCCAGAGGUAUAAAGCCAAAAUAGAAGAUCUGGAGAAAACUUUGGCUCAGAAAGGGCAGGACUCACACUGGGUGGAAGACAAGCAGCUUUUUAUUAAGAGGAACCAAGAGCUUUUAGACAAGAUAGAGAAAACGGAAGCAGAAAACAACCGUCUGCAACAGGAGCUGCAGGAUGCGCGAGACCAGAACGAGCUGCUGGAGUUCCGCAACCUUGAGCUGGAGGAAAGAGAGAGACGGUCCCCACCAUUUAAUCUCCAGAUUCACCCAUUCUCAGAUGGUGUGAGUGCUCUACAGAUCUACUGCAUGAAGGAAGGGGUUAAGGAUGUCAGCAUCCCAGACCUUAUAAAGCAGUUAGACAUCCUAGGUGAUAAUGGGAAUUUAAGGAAUGAAGAACAAGUGGCCAUAAUUCAGGCGUCCACGGUAUUGUCCUUGGCAGAAAAGUGGAUCCAGCAGAUUGAGGGAGCUGAAGCUGCUCUGCAUCAGAAGAUGAUGGAACUGGAAAGUGAUAUGGAGCAAUUUUGCAAAAUAAAAGGUUAUUUGGAGGAAGAAUUAGACUACAGAAAGCAAGCUCUUGACCAAGCGUACAUGAGGAUCCAGGAGCUUGAAGCCACCUUGUACAAUGCUUUGCAGCAAGAAACAGUGAUAAAGUUUGGGGAACUACUCACUGAAAAACAGCAGGAAGAGCUGAGGACAGCGGUAGAAAAGCUAAGACGUCAGAUGCUGAGGAAGAGCAGAGAAUAUGAUUGCCAGAUUCUUCAGGAGAGGAUGGAGCUGCUCCAGCAGGCUCAUCAGAGGAUCCGAGAUUUAGAAGAUAAAACUGACAUCCAAAAGAGACAAAUUAAGGAUCUGGAGGAAAAGUUUCUAUUUCUGUUCUUGUUCUUCUCUCUUGCCUUUAUUCUUUGGCCUUGAUGUCAAUGUGCCUCUUGGAAAGGUAAGACUGUUUUAUUUAUUUCCUCAAAACUAGCACUUCUUGCACAGACCGGAGGAUCACAUCCUUGUGUGUUCUUGUGGAUGUUUGGAGUCAGCAAAUGCAGCAGGUUGUUGUCGAUUUGCAGUAGUUCACAGUAGGGGGUUGUUGUACUGCCAAGCUGCUGGUGAUAUUGUGCUAUUCAUAAUUGUAAAAAUAAAAGCUAACAAGGAAUUUCACAGUAUCAAAAAGCCAAGGGAAUUGCAGGGGAAAUUUAAUGUUGAUGUUUACAAAGGGAUGCAGAUGGAAAACAGUUAAAAUAACCUCAACCGUAAACACACUCUGAACUAGCACUGAGGAAGGAGAUCAGGAUUUUGAAACAAGUAGAGCAGCAGCUCUACUUUUUAAAACAAGUGUCCCGUAGCAGGAAAAACACAAAGAAAGACAAGGAAGAAUGAUCAACUGCUGAGAGACAGGAAGGGAGAGAUAGAGAAAUGGAAGGAUUUUUCUGGCUCAGGAAGUGACACUGCUAAUAGGAGGUAUUGGAGAGAUCUAAAAAAUUUGUCAUAGAAUGGAUGGACGGACGGACAGACAGCUUGCUAUUGUUCACCGUCUAAUAGAAUCAAUUACCAUGUAACAAGCUUAAAGAAACAAAAAUUAAUAGUUAAGGAUACAGGUGGUAAAGAAGUCUUUCACGGUAUGCUUAGCAGCUGAAAGUUCUGAAUUCAAAAGGUAAUGUGAAGAUGGGGAAAUAAAUCAGAGAACUAUAAUGGUCCCAUUUUUAUCUGUGCCUAGCCACUUCCAGAACAAGGAUGCUGGGCUAGGACAAUUUUUCUUUUGAUCCAGGAUAACAAAACUAGAACACAGCAUAGAAAACAUAAUGUUAAAGUCUCAAGAACAUGUAAUGACAGCAUAAUUUUCUGAUUUGAGGACAGACCCAUACCAUUAAAUUUCUCAGUCUCUCUUGGCUCUGGCUUCAGCUGUGUUAAUGAAUAAUUCCUCUGCUCUCCACCUGAUAAAAUGAGAUACGGUUGUGUGAAAUAUGUUCUGCCCUUCCACCAUUUGUACCAGCUCAUUUUUUGUUUCCAGAUACAAUUCAAGGUAUUGAUUAUAAUUAAGUGGCAUGGGUCAUGUUUGGUGGGUUUUCCUUUUCCCUUUAAGGAAAAGCCCCUACUUCGUGUUUUAUUUCAGCUAGAUCCAAGCUUUCAUUUGCAGUUUUGUGCUGAUGCAGAGACAACUCUCAGAAUUAGUCACUUCAACUGGAAUCCACUGUGUCCUUGUUUGGCCAGACCUCAAAAUGAAUGUUUCCAUGGGCUGAAGCAGUAAUAUACCUGGAGGUUGGCUUGAACGGGGAGCAACCCAUAGAGAGGAAUUAGGAGAAAUGCAGACAGAUCAGUGAUCACAGGUCUUGUGAACAAGAGUCAGUAUCAUUAUCAAGUUGCUGCAGUUUCAAACAUACUGCCUUGAUCCAGUGAUUAUGAAACACAAUAACUUAUGACUGCAUUAAUUGUGUUCCUACUGCAGGAUUUCUGAGAACCAUGGUACAGCAUAGUAUAGCUGUGAGAUGUUUUAGGUAUCUCUGACUGGUGGAAGUUUGACUUCACAGUUUCUUGCUUAUUCAUAAUGGAGAAAAAAAUUAGAAACUCUUCUGAAGUGACCAAAUUGUGGACAAAAUAAUUUUAAGAAGCCAAGAUUUUCACAGUACACAGUAGUAGCAAAUAACUUUCUAUGACUAUGUCUUUUGCUGUACCACAGAAUCAUGAGUCUAGAACAAGCAGUCAACCUAGAGGGAGAUUCCAAAUUUAAAAAAAAUAUUGGAUUUAAGGUGCACCUUGGAAAAUCACAGGAACUUGUAGUGACAUUUGUGAGAACCUGCCUGCAUGACUUUUUUCCAUUUGCCUGUACUGUUGUCCUUUUUUCGUUCCUGUCACAACUGAAAUAAUGUCCUUGUGCAGCAUAUGAGAAAAACUUGGGCAAUAAGAGGUUCAGAGUUUUCUAUAUAUACAGUUUGCAUCUACAUUUUCCACCAGUGUGGGUAUGGCAUUGGUUCUCUAAUGAGUAUUUGCCUCUUCUAGUACAGCUACAGAAUUAGUGAGCUUUUACGUCCUAGUAUUACCAAUACCAAUCUGCUAAUACCAUUUGCUAAUAACACUUAGGUCCUUUUGGCCUAAUUUUUGAGGGCAGGUAUUGGCUGGUUAGAAAAGCUAAUGAGAUGCUUGAGGUCAGAACUCCAUAUUUUUCCUAAGUUCUAGGAGGUUUGCUAUUUUUCACUUGGAGUCAUCCUGCCUCCAUGGGCUGCUGGGUCCUGUUCAGCUCUUGCUCUUCACGGAGCUGAUGCACAUCUUGCUGUAAUGUUCAUUGAACAGGACUAAAAAUCAAAACAAUAUAAACAUUUUUUGUGCUGUCCUUAAGGCAUACACGACUGUCCCAGCUGCACAAUUGACCGAUGUCAUUGCAGGGGAACUUACAUGGAUCCAUUAGGGAUUGUGUCAAGAAUUCACUUCCCUCCUCACACCCUUUCUCUCUCCACCCUCCACCCCCCAUUCUGGCCCAAUCUCCUUCAAUGGGUUUUCCUCUUGUUUUACAUAACAUCUAAGGUUUAGCAGGUGUAAAUCCCUUCGAGAUCACUUUGUUGAGCCCAGGAAUGCUGCUCUGACUACAAUGCCAAGAUGAGUUUCACUCAUUGAAGUCACUGUUGCUCCAUAAUGGCUGGUCCCUGGAGCACACAGGGGUCCAGUUCCCCAUAGAGAAGAUGAGAAGCAUCAGCAGGAGCUGAAAUGUGGGUUACAGCCCCAUAAAGCCUGCUAGGCAGUUGUGGCACUCCUAGGACCACUCAGGAGGUGAAGGGUUCUUUUUCCUUUCCCAUCCUUCUUUUACAUAUUUGGCUUGAUGAACAUCAGGUGGGGAUCAACAAGACAGAUUACGGUGAGCUGAGUGACAGAGGAAAAGAGCCUUGACAGUAGUGGAGAUACAGUGACUUAGAGAAUCGACAUUGACUGUGAAGGUGGAAAAGUCUUACGGGAGAGGUGUGUGUGGGGGAUAUAUAAACUCAAUGCUUUUCCAGAGGAUCUGCACUGCUGUGAACUCCCUUGAACUGUAAAGACAGCUGCAGCAGGCCCAGCAUCACAGCACGCAUGAUACCUGUAGAGUGUUUUACCAAGGCCAGUCACUCCACAGGUGCAAAGCAUCAAGUCUUGUAGCAGUUCCUCAAAAACAAGAGUGCCCGAACCACACAGAUAAGUCCUUAUAAAGGCAAAUGCUUCCACCCCUCGAUGAAGAGAAUAUUGUUUACACCUAUUUUCAAAUGUAUAAAAAUGAACAACCUGUAGCCAAGACUGCAACCACCUUGUAUUUUAAAGCCAUCACUCAAAAUUUGGUACCUGACAAUUCCUGUCUAAAGCUAUGAUAUAUGCUGCAUCUAAUGAAAUCCUGUAUGUUGAAAUUACAAAAGGGGAAGAAAAAUAAACUGAUAACCUACAUCACCUAGGAAGAACUUAAAGGGAAGGGACCACUUUCAGCUGAUCAAGUCAGUGUGUCUUGGGCAUGGAACCAAAGUUACAAUUGAAAAAUCUAUUCCUGCUGUGCAGGGCAAUCAUUUAAAUGUUUCCCUGUCAUCUGACAAAUGGAUCAAAAAUGAACAGAUGAGAGUAGGAGAAACUCAAGAGAUGCUGACAACAAAGUGUUCAAUUUGAAGUAUGUGGCUUUCUCGCUGCAGGGACUCCUGCUCUCCCUCUUUGGUUUUAACCUCAGGAACAAAUGACAGCUGCAAUGUGGAAGGAAGAAAGGAAAAAAGCCCAGUCUGUGUUACUGCAGGGUGGGCAGGACAGAGUACCAUGUUUUGUGCUUGAGAUUGUUACACAGCGCCACCUGCCUUGGCCAAGGCAUGGGAGAAGAGGGUGGAUGGCAUGAGGAGGGUUUCCAGUGGAGCUGAAGCCUUAUCUCUCUUCACCAUCCCUCCAUGAAGAACAGCCUGUCUAUUAUCAGAUACUUUUCAUACUCUUUAAAGACUGCCAUUGAGAUAAUAAAACCAAGACUAUACUUGGUUUCACUAUAGAGUAACCACUGAAUUGGACCUACAGAAUAGUUUCUGAGAAAGAAAAGAGAUGUUGGAGGACAGGGCAGGGAGGAAAGCUAAUCCCCUUAUCCAUGUGACAUGAUUCACAAAGCAUCAGCUUCCAACUGUUUUGUCCCAGCUUGGAAAAAAUGUUUUGGUUCAGCUUGUCAACUGACUUUGUUGGAUUCCUGAUCAAUGAUAGAUAGACCAAAAAUGGGGAAAAACAUUGUGAACACAACCUUAUUACAGAUAAGAAAUAUUGCUAGUCUGUUUAGAUUUUUCCACAGUUAAGAGUAACUAAAAGUAGUUUUCAUUUGAAAGCAUUACUUACCUCUGUAAUCAUGAAGCCUGGAACCCAGCCGUGGUGCCUCCCUGAGGUCAUAGGUCCAUGCACCCAUCACUUUGUCAGAAAUGUAGGUCCAUGCACCCCUGCAGUCUUUCAGAAGAGCAGUCCCUGGGGAGCACAAUGCCUGCAGCAAUCACUGUGGGUCCUGUGCUGAGGGAAGGAGUGCAGCCAGCUGCACCCACCCUCCCUUCUCACUGGCGGGCUGACAGUACACUUCUCAUGCCUCUGGUUUCAUCUUCUGCGGAACAGAGUCCUGCCUGUUCAGACUUUGGAUUCCUGUGGCCAGGCUCUAUCUGCAAUGGAGCCUUAAUUUUAACUGGAAGAAAUGGAUUUCUGUACUAAAAACUAGCAAAUUAAGGGCCAAAAUACAGCUUGUGCAUUACUUACACCUUCAAAGCAGGGAUCACAUGUACCAACAUCUUACGCACAUCAGAAGCUUUUAAAGAGCUUUCGAAGAGUUUUUCAAAGAUCUUCUCCUUUGCUUGCCUGUUUACUUUUACAGACAAAGCAGAUGAGGCACAAAGCAGUGAGGUUACUUGCCGGAGCAACUCAGCACAUCAAAAGCAGUUCCUUAGCCAUAGGAGGGAGGGAGUUUCUCUGGUGUCAAUGAUGCCUGCCCCUCACAGAUACCUUUUUUUUUUUUUUUGGCUAGAAUAGCUUUUAAUCAGUAAUGUCCAUUUGACUAACUGCAUUGCAGUUUCUCCACAAAGACUGCUAACAUUCUUAUUCCUUGAGUGCCAGGAGAUAGUGUUAAACCUUCCAUGGAAGAUUAGAAGUUAUUAGCAAGUGAUUUUUUUCCUGCUCCUUAAAGUUAAUUUAAAUUAUAGAAUGACCACAUCUUCUUGAAACACUGGCUCAGCCAAGGGGUUUACUGAGUUCUGGCACCAAGCUGUAUGUUUGCUGGCUCAUUUUUAAAGAAAUAUGCUUGUAGGUAGAUACGUUACAUGACUGCAGGCAUAUUGCGUGUUUUUUUUUUCAAAUUCCUUUCCCUAGCAGAAGACUCUGUGAAUAAGGUUGUGCUUUCCAUGAGCUAGCAGUUCAGUCCUGAAGCUCUGGAGUUGGGCCCUGAAGAGUGGUCCCACUCCUGUGACAGCUGGAGAUUACUGAGCAGCGUAACAGCAGCUUGUUAGCUAGAGGGAGCUUUCUCUCUGGUUGUUCCUUCCCACCUCACUCUUUUCUCCUCUGUUGCAGCAUCAGGUAAUUUGCCACCUUCAGGUGGCUUUCCUCAGUGUUAGGGCUGGCAGUUAAAGCACGGAGUUCUUGCAGAAGAAUUAGCAGCUCUUGGUUUCAGUGAUGGUGCAAUAACUUCCACCGCUGGUUUGGUUUAAAAAAAAAACCCUAGAAACAUUUAUUUUAGGCAAUCAUACAGAAGGUUUAUGGCACAGUUAGAAAUUUACACUUUUACAACAUACCUAACUGGUCUUGUGGCAGGCUUCAUUAUUUAGACUCCCUAAGUCAUGUUAUCUUGUUUAAUUUCUCUUUUUUGUCUUAUUUGCCCUCCCUUACUCCUGUGUGUAUACAUAUGCAUGCAGGUAUUGCAUUGCCAAGGGUUCAGGGUGGGAUGGGUGCUGGUAGUCUGACUGCAGCAGACCUGGAUCUGCAGACUUUUCAAAGAUUGUUCUUCCCUCCAGGGAGCUGAACCACUGCUGCUUUACUCUCCUUGCAGCAUAACACAUGCCAUGCCUAAAACACACAUGCUGAUGUGAGUUAAUGGAACUUUCUGCUAUCAGCUAGAUAAAAUGAGUUUCAUGUCUGUGUGUAUAUAUAUAUACACAUGUAUCUAUAUGUAUAUGUACAUAUAUAUACAUAUAUAUGCAUAUACUUACCGAUUCCUGAUUGUAUAUAGAAAUAUUGCUGUAGCUUACAAAAGUAUACUUUAAUCUAGGCAUGGGGAACUGAAUCCAGAUUAUUUCUCCAGGUUUAGUUUCACAUCUCAUGGGCAGCUAAUUUUUUUAUUCUUUUUUUUGAUUCUUCACUCUCCUUUGACUGUUAAUCCUGGGCUUUCUGCUGUUCCUGAUGUUCAUUGAAGCAAAGGAUUGAGAAUCCUCCCUCAGAUUAGUCACUGUAGCCAACCUCCCCUCCCCAAAGCCAACAACAAAAAUAAAAUCAAUGUACUGCAGCCUUUGAGGACAGCGAAUACAGCCCUGGAUCCCUCCCGUGCAUCCCUUCGAGGCUCUUCAGGAGUGGCAGCACUCCAGGCUAUCCAUCCUGCCAAAGCAGAAGGUGAGCCACAGAAGGUAGUACAAAUCAGCUUGACCACAACUUGACUUGCUUUUUUUUUCCCCCCAGUGACCAAGUUAUGAGACUUUGAAGACUAUUGUUUGAAUUUAAACACUUCAGAUGAGGGCCUGGUUACGUGAGACGAGUUUAGGCAAUUGGGGUUGCAGUAAGGAAAUGGUUCUUGCAGUGUUACCAGCAUGGCUCACAGGUCCAUCCUUUCUUACUGAUGUGCCUGGAGGACAAUGGAGAAUUUUUUUUAAGGUGUUGUUAAUCGUCCAACCAGCUACCAUUAUGUCAGUGGGAAACAUCCGCUGAAACCCGAAGCUUUCAGUUCUAUGGCAUCCCAUGAGGACUGUCCAGGCCAGGCUCUCCUGACAUGAGCAGGGCUCAGAGAACACUCAGCUGCUGGUGAUCCAAAGGGUUUUUUCUUCCCCUGCCCUCUCUCACAUCAGCACCUCUGUGGUUUUAUAUAUACUUUUUGUUCCAGAUUUUUUUGGUGUCUAUUCCAGAACAAAAUUGUAAAUUACUUGCAGAAUGACCCUUUGAUAAACAUUGGACAUGUACCUGUACUAUAUGUAUUAACGUGUAGGAGAGAAUCCUUAUUGUAUGUAAAGUUUUAUGGAUGGUUAUUUUUUAAUUUAUGUAUUUAAUAUAGGAUUCAAUGACCUCUGGUGUUUUAGUUUGUAUAAAAAAUAAAACAGCAGCAUUUUUAAAAAAAAAAAGCAACCAACA
Melospiza melodia melodia is the source of this 10049-nucleotide RNA transcript. It is a transcript of the gene named janus kinase and microtubule interacting protein 2, with no coding region annotated. The transcript has 22 exons. Lineage: Eukaryota; Metazoa; Chordata; Aves; Passeriformes; Passerellidae. The record is from RefSeq and is a predicted model, not a curated record.